GGAGCCGGCGGACGCGGAGGCUCUGAGCCAGUACGCGACCUUCUUGUGGAAGGCGCGGGACAACCUCGCCGGCGCGGAGGACACCUACCAGGAGGCCAUCGCGGCCGACCCCGGGAACGCCCACCACGCCGCCGCCUACGCCCACUUCCUCUGGAACACCGGAGGUGAGGACACAUGCUACCCCCUCGAUUGACGCGCGAACACCGGCACCGACACGAACCGGCCAGGCCAAAGAUCGAAAAAAAAUGAAAAAUUUAGAAUUCAAGAAGUCAAGUUCUUGCAGCAUGCGCGGGGGCGGCCACGCGGCGAGACGGCUAGACCACGACAUCACACCCAUGGCCCGGGCGG
RNAcentral lists this long non-coding RNA (348 nucleotides) under Setaria italica (foxtail millet). Its description in RNAcentral is "long non-coding RNA (SITA_LNC002107)". The record is from RNAcentral. Lineage: Eukaryota; Viridiplantae; Streptophyta; Magnoliopsida; Poales; Poaceae.